Molecule: microRNA precursor, 102 nt
Filed under: Pristionchus pacificus
Lineage: Eukaryota; Metazoa; Nematoda; Chromadorea; Rhabditida; Neodiplogasteridae
Description: microRNA ppc-mir-63d precursor
Gene: ppc-mir-63d
Source: miRBase by way of RNAcentral
CCUCCCUGGCCCGUCUUUUUUUUUCUCCGUUCGCUUUUGGCGUCAUGGUCCUCAUUUGGGCUGGUACUAUGACACUCAAGCGAGCGAAGAGAACGGUGGGAG